This 650-nucleotide long non-coding RNA is filed under the name Cavia porcellus (domestic guinea pig). RNAcentral's name for it is "lncRNA (ENSCPOG00000038480.1)". Lineage: Eukaryota; Metazoa; Chordata; Mammalia; Rodentia; Caviidae. The record is from RNAcentral.
CUUGAGGUCUGUGUCUUAAGAAUCAGUGACUGAUAACUUUUUCUUUUCUUUUUUGUUAUCACAGGUGAACGAUACUUUACCUCGACAGGAGGGGAGACACUGUGGCAUUUACCUGCCAUUAAAUCCAUGUGCAGUAUAAACUCCAGGAUCAGGUCUCACCGCCAGUUUGGUGACCUCUGCCAGAGAACCACCGCCGCCUCUUGCUGCCCCAGCUGGAUGCUGGGGAACUACAUUGCCAUUCUGAACAACAGGUCGUCCUGUCAGAGCAUCAUCGAGCAAGAUAUGUCUCACACCCUGAAGCUGCUCCGCACCUGUGCCAAGCACUACCAGAAUGGCACCCUAGGGCCAGACUGCUGGGAUGCCGCUGCCCACAGGAAGGACCAGCUCAAGUGCACCAGUGUGCCACGCAAGUGCACCAAGUACAACACCGUGUACCAGAUCCACCACUACCUGUGGACAAGGACUUCAUGGCCCUGAAGGUGGCUGACCACCCCACCUCGGUGCUCAGGUACAGCAUGUUCUUCUCGCCCACAGAGAAGGGGAAGAGCAUGAUGAACGUUUACCUGGACAACUUCGAAAACUGGAACUCCUCAGACAGCGUGACGAUGGUCACUAGGAUCGAGUUCGGCAUCAAACACAGCUUGUUUCAG